This 774-nucleotide ribosomal RNA is filed under the name uncultured Neocallimastigales. RNAcentral describes it as "partial large subunit ribosomal RNA". It matches the Rfam family "Eukaryotic large subunit ribosomal RNA", at positions 22 to 634 of the family's 3401-position model. The record is from RNAcentral. Lineage: Eukaryota; Fungi; Neocallimastigomycota; Neocallimastigomycetes; Neocallimastigales.
CAUAGCGACUAUCGUGGCAUAUCAAUAAGCGGAGGAAAAGAAACUAACUAGGAUUCCCUCAGUAACGGCGAGUGAAGCGGGAAGAGCUCAAAUUUGAAAUCUUCAAGGUUCUACCUUGACGAAUUGUAGUUUAAAGAAGUGUUUUCGGUUAGAGGAGUAGUAAAAGUUCUUUGGAAUAGGACAUCAUAGAGGGUGAGAAUCCCGUAUUUGACUAUUCUUUCUAGCUUUGUGAUACACUUUCAAAGAGUCGGAUUGUUUGGGAAUGCAGUCCAAAAUGGGUGGUAAAUUUCAUCUAAAGCUAAAUAUUGGCGAGAGACCGAUAGCGAACAAGUACCGUGAGGGAAAGAUGAAAAGAACUUUGAAAAGAGAGUUAAACAGUACGUGAAAUUGUCAAAAGGGAAGCGUUUGACACCAGUGUUGUUUUUCCGAAAAUCAAUUAAUGAAUGGCUUGAUUUUAAGUUUCAUGACCUUAAAAGCUUGUUUCUUAUUUUUCAUGUCUUUCGUAAUGCACUUUUCGGUUAACAAGUCAACAUCAAUUUCUUUUGUUGUAAAAGGUUAAGAGGAAGGUGGCUUUACUUUCGGGUAAAGUGUUUAUAGCCUUUUAACUCUGCAAUCGGAGAGAUUGAGGUCUGCAGCGUAGAUCCUUCGGGGUUAGAUACAUUUGUACUAAGCUAUAGCCUUUCAUAGACAACUUGUUGACUAUGAUCAGUCAUGUAGCUUACUCGCUUAUGCUAUUUUACCUACGCUUAGGAUGUUGAUAUGCAUGACUGAUAU